CAGUGGACCCUGAAAGCAACCUUUUGAGUUAUUGCUAUUAUCUCCAUUUUCCAGAUGAGCAAAGUGAUCAGAGAGAUCAAGAAAUUUUCCCAGAGUCAGACACAAAGUCAGUAACAAAACUGGGAUUCCAACUGCACGGCUCCCACUUCUAACUGGGAAAUGUCUCCUAAGUAUGGGCCAUGGGUUGAUCUAAGUGGUGGCUGACUCCUUCACAGACAAGUUUACCUGUUUGUUGUGGAAGAAUCCCUGCAUUGGGUGUUUUGGACAAUAAAGACUGGACCCCUGAUCUAAUGGUACAGGAAACUCUUGGAUGAGGAAACUCCAUCUACCAAGGCAGGGUGGCACCUUCUCUGAAAGUUCUGGCCUUUGAUCACCAAGAAGGCAUGCAAGAGAGUGAUGACUAAAUCAUAGACCUUGGUCCCAGAAAUGACCUUCAUAGAUGCUGCUGCUGGCUGAGGCCUAUCCAAGGCAUUCCAGCGGUGAGGAUUGCUCAGCUACUUCUCUCAGCUCCCUGGCAAUGGCCUGAAGGAUCACAAGGACCUCACCAAAGAAAAAUAAAGCCUAGAAAAGUUAAACAACUCACCCAGGAUCACACAGGUAAGUGGCAAAAUGAGAUUUGAACUCAGGUCUUCUAACUCCUACUCAACACCUUUCCUAUUAUGAGACUGGGUUUCCUUUCUAGGCUCAGAUUUCUUAAAGCAAGGACUAAAUUGUUUUUUUGUUGUUGUUUGUUUUGUUUUUCAGGUCAUUUGGAACACACUUAUUUAAUUUAUUUUGCUUCAGUAACGACACAAAAUUAUCUAAUGGUAUUUCCUAGAGAUUUCUCUUCUGAUUAUUUGUUCAAGUACACAGAACUGGGGAGAUGUGCCUAGCCAGCUUCUCCAACAAAGAAGAGCUAGGGGCUUUAGUGGACUGCAAGCCCAAUAUGUGGCAGUCAACAGUGUCCCCCAGUGUGUGCCCCAAUUGUCCUAUAAAGCUAUGCUAUGGAGCAUUUUGCCCUCAUUUAUUAAAGGAACUUGUUCAAUAUCCCCGUUGUUUGGCAUGGAAUUAAAACUAGAAAAUUGAUGUAGGGGUAGGGAUUGAACUUGCAAAUUCAUCAGAAGAGGACAAUUUCAGAAUGAGGAAAUUCUCUCCACCAAGAGGGGUUGAUAUCUUUUGUGCAACUUAUAUGACCUUAGAGGUUUAGCUUUAUGUAGACCUAGAGUGUAGCUUAGAGCCCUGAGAAGUAAGAUGACUUAUAUAGGGUCCCACAUCCAGUAUGUGUCAAGGGGAGAACUCAGUAAAAGCACCCAGGGUCUUCCUGGCUCUGAAGUCUGUUUUUUUUUUUUUAAUCCAUCAUACACUGUAUAAACAAAUUCUUAAUAAAUAUCUUGGAAUUCCCCUUCCUUCCUUCCUUCUUUCCUUCCUUCCUUCUUUCCUUCCUUCCUUCCUUCCUUC
Molecule: non-coding RNA, 1437 nt
Organism: Monodelphis domestica (gray short-tailed opossum)
Lineage: Eukaryota; Metazoa; Chordata; Mammalia; Didelphimorphia; Didelphidae
Source: RefSeq, a predicted model, not a curated record